This 301-nucleotide ribosomal RNA is filed under the name uncultured bacterium. Its description in RNAcentral is "partial 16S ribosomal RNA". It matches the Rfam family "Bacterial small subunit ribosomal RNA", at positions 509 to 809 of the family's 1533-position model. The record is from RNAcentral.
CAGUCGCCGCGGGAAUACGUAGGGUGCAAGCGUUAAUCGGAAUUACUGGGCGUAAAGCGUGCGUAGGCGGUUUAGUAAGUCAGUGGUGAAAGCCCAUCGCUCAACGGUGGAACGGCCAUUGAUACUGCUGAACUUGAAUUAUUAGGAAGUAACUAGAAUAUGUAGUGUAGCGGUGAAAUGCUUAGAGAUUACAUGGGAUACCAAUUGCGAAGGCAGGUUACUACUAAUUGAUUGACGCUGAUGGACGAAAGCGUGGGGAGCGAACAGGAUUAGAUACCCGUGUAGUCCCUGUCUCUUAUAA